Molecule: ribosomal RNA, 433 nt
Filed under: uncultured bacterium
Lineage: Bacteria
Description: partial 16S ribosomal RNA
Rfam family: Bacterial small subunit ribosomal RNA
Source: RNAcentral
AGCGAACGCUGGCGGCAGGCUUAACACAUGCAAGUCGAGCGGGCACUUCGGUGUCAGCGGCAGACGGGUGAGUAACACGUGGGAACGUACCCUUCGGUUCGGAAUAACGCUGGGAAACUAGCGCUAAUACCGGAUACGCCCUUUUGGGGAAAGGUUUACUGCCGAAGGAUCGGCCCGCGUCUGAUUAGCUAGUUGGUGGGGUAAUGGCCUACCAAGGCGACGAUCAGUAGCUGGUCUGAGAGGAUGAUCAGCCACACUGGGACUGAGACACGGCCCAGACUCCUACGGGAGGCAGCAGUGGGGAAUAUUGGACAAUGGGCGCAAGCCUGAUCCAGCCAUGCCGCGUGAGUGAUGAAGGCCUUAGGGUUGUAAAGCUCUUUUGUCCGGGACGAUAAUGGCGGUACCGGAAGAAUAAGCCCCGGCUAACUUCGUG